RNAcentral lists this ribosomal RNA (1365 nucleotides) under Klebsiella pneumoniae. RNAcentral's name for it is "bacterial SSU rRNA". It matches the Rfam family "Bacterial small subunit ribosomal RNA", at positions 73 to 1433 of the family's 1533-position model. Lineage: Bacteria; Pseudomonadati; Pseudomonadota; Gammaproteobacteria; Enterobacterales; Enterobacteriaceae. The record is from RNAcentral.
AGAGAGCUUGCUCUCGGGUGACGAGCGGCGGACGGGUGAGUAAUGUCUGGGAAACUGCCUGAUGGAGGGGGAUAACUACUGGAAACGGUAGCUAAUACCGCAUAAUGUCGCAAGACCAAAGUGGGGGACCUUCGGGCCUCAUGCCAUCAGAUGUGCCCAGAUGGGAUUAGCUAGUAGGUGGGGUAACGGCUCACCUAGGCGACGAUCCCUAGCUGGUCUGAGAGGAUGACCAGCCACACUGGAACUGAGACACGGUCCAGACUCCUACGGGAGGCAGCAGUGGGGAAUAUUGCACAAUGGGCGCAAGCCUGAUGCAGCCAUGCCGCGUGUGUGAAGAAGGCCUUCGGGUUGUAAAGCACUUUCAGCGGGGAGGAAGGCGAUAAGGUUAAUAACCUUGGCGAUUGACGUUACCCGCAGAAGAAGCACCGGCUAACUCCGUGCCAGCAGCCGCGGUAAUACGGAGGGUGCAAGCGUUAAUCGGAAUUACUGGGCGUAAAGCGCACGCAGGCGGUCUGUCAAGUCGGAUGUGAAAUCCCCGGGCUCAACCUGGGAACUGCAUUCGAAACUGGCAGGCUAGAGUCUUGUAGAGGGGGGUAGAAUUCCAGGUGUAGCGGUGAAAUGCGUAGAGAUCUGGAGGAAUACCGGUGGCGAAGGCGGCCCCCUGGACAAAGACUGACGCUCAGGUGCGAAAGCGUGGGGAGCAAACAGGAUUAGAUACCCUGGUAGUCCACGCCGUAAACGAUGUCGAUUUGGAGGUUGUGCCCUUGAGGCGUGGCUUCCGGAGCUAACGCGUUAAAUCGACCGCCUGGGGAGUACGGCCGCAAGGUUAAAACUCAAAUGAAUUGACGGGGGCCCGCACAAGCGGUGGAGCAUGUGGUUUAAUUCGAUGCAACGCGAAGAACCUUACCUGGUCUUGACAUCCACAGAACUUUCCAGAGAUGGAUUGGUGCCUUCGGGAACUGUGAGACAGGUGCUGCAUGGCUGUCGUCAGCUCGUGUUGUGAAAUGUUGGGUUAAGUCCCGCAACGAGCGCAACCCUUAUCCUUUGUUGCCAGCGGUUCGGCCGGGAACUCAAAGGAGACUGCCAGUGAUAAACUGGAGGAAGGUGGGGAUGACGUCAAGUCAUCAUGGCCCUUACGACCAGGGCUACACACGUGCUACAAUGGCAUAUACAAAGAGAAGCGACCUCGCGAGAGCAAGCGGACCUCAUAAAGUAUGUCGUAGUCCGGAUUGGAGUCUGCAACUCGACUCCAUGAAGUCGGAAUCGCUAGUAAUCGUAGAUCAGAAUGCUACGGUGAAUACGUUCCCGGGCCUUGUACACACCGCCCGUCACACCAUGGGAGUGGGUUGCAAAAGAAGUAGGUAG